CUCCUGGAAACGGGUGGUAAUGCCGGAUGCUCCGCCCCCUCGCAUGGGGGGUCGGGAAGGCUUUUGCGGAAUGGGAUGGGGUCGCGUCCUAUCAGCUUGUUGGCGGGGCGACGGCCCACCAAGGCUUCGACGGGUAGCCGGCCUGAGAGGGCGACCGGCCACAUUGGGACUGAGAUACGGCCCAGACUCCUACGGGAGGCAGCAGUGGGGAAUAUUGCACAAUGGGGGGAACCCUGAUGCAGCGACGCCGCGUGCGGGAUGGAGGCCUUCGGGUCGUGAACCGCUCUUGAUUGGGAGCAAGCGUGAGUGAGUGUACCUUUCGAAUAAGCACCGGCUAACUACGUGCCAGCAGCCGCGGUAAUACGUAGGGUGCAAGCGUUGUCCGGAAUCAUUGGGCGUAAAGGGCUCGUAGGCGGUUCGUCGCGUCCGGUGUGAAAGCCCAUCGCUUAACGGUGGGUCUGCGCCGGGUACGGGCGGGCUUGAGUGCGGCAGGGGAGGCUGGAAUUCCCGGUGUAACGGUGGAAUGUGUAGAUAUCGGGAAGAACACC
RNAcentral lists this ribosomal RNA (548 nucleotides) under uncultured Bifidobacterium sp. RNAcentral's name for it is "bacterial SSU rRNA". It matches the Rfam family "Bacterial small subunit ribosomal RNA", at positions 147 to 710 of the family's 1533-position model. The record is from RNAcentral. Lineage: Bacteria; Bacillati; Actinomycetota; Actinomycetes; Bifidobacteriales; Bifidobacteriaceae.